UCAGAAACAGUAAUUUGAGAACUAGAUAGC
Molecule: non-coding RNA, 30 nt
Filed under: Mus musculus (house mouse)
Lineage: Eukaryota; Metazoa; Chordata; Mammalia; Rodentia; Muridae
Source: RNAcentral